ACUUUAUAGUGCACAGUGUUUUCGUAUCUAUCACUGGAGUCUCAACAAUCUAGUUGCUCCUUAAGCGGGCAGCAAGGAUCAGUGUGCGAUGUCGGCUGGCUUACUAAUUGUUGUGCCUUUAGAUUUAGGAAUACCUAGCGUAUACCUAUUUUUCAGAACAGAACAAUAAGGCAGAUAGUCUUAUACAUAUUCAUUCAUUGGUUUGUAUGCAGUCAGUCCUAGCAGGACCAUCGCAGCUACAAACAGAAGCUGGAUCUGGAGGUGAGCUGUUCUAGGCAUUGUUUUGGUGAAUCAUGUGAUUUACUUUCUUUUGAGCUCAGUUUUUGAUCUGCAGACACUGAAAUCCCACUGGUCUCUUCCCUGGCCUGGGGAAUUCAGGGAGAAACAGGAGGGAAGACAUAGCGGGAAAAGCUGAUGCUCCCCCCUCGAAAGCUUCAGGAACUAUUUUUAAACAUGAAGGCCACGGUAUCAUUUGCCCUGUGCUCGCCUUUCACCCUCCCAGUGAGGACCCUCGUAACAUUCUGCUUGCUUUGGGGUUCCUACAGAUAACAUCUCCCUGGAGCCUGGGUCACCAUGGUAAUGGGUGUUUGAGCUGUGUUUCAGGAAUUAGAACCCCUUGUCCACUUCAGACCGGUUGAGACGACCAAUCCAUCAACUGGGCUCAAGCAGAUGUCCGAUAAGCGACCUUUGGACGUCAAGAGGCUAAAAACUCCCCCCUCAGGGCCACAGCUAAAAAGAAGAUGGUCCUUUCUCCUGGAGACUCAGAUAUGAGAUUUAUGGAUGGGCGGGGGUCUAUAAUUCCAGCGUCACUGCUGAGGGUGAGAUGACCAUCUUGGCCACCGACAUGAUUGCUCUCAACCAUCCCUUCAUUCCAAGGCCAUGGCUGCUGAAAAUUACAACCCCGGAAAAGUUGUCUGAGUUUUGAGAGAGGAGUGGACUUCUUCUCUCAUGAACCCUAUAGGCAGUCUGCUGCUUUCAUAUAUAAAACCUUCCUGAAAGCAUGAAAGCAAAUUGAAUAUCAAAAAUAUAAGCAUCAUUCAAGUCGACAGGAAAAAGUAGCAUCACCUGGAGAUGUACGUAUGGAGGUGGAGAGAGACAUUUGCUCUCAGUCCAGGAGCACUGCUGGGUGUGGGCUGCGUUCCAGCAUGUGGGUGAUGAGACGACUGAGGCAGCCUGUGCCCCCGAAGAGCUCAAAUGCGUUUUGCAUGAUACUGAGAGUUCAAAAAUAAAAAGUGGA
Long non-coding RNA from Diceros bicornis minor, 1237 nucleotides. RefSeq lists it as uncharacterized. The record is from RefSeq and is a predicted model, not a curated record. The transcript has 4 exons. Lineage: Eukaryota; Metazoa; Chordata; Mammalia; Perissodactyla; Rhinocerotidae.